AGGAAUUAAAGAAAAUCUUCACUUUGAUAUUUGUCAUCAGCUUUUGCAAUGUUCAAAAUUCAAAUGCUCCUAAUUCAAAAUUCGAAGACUCCUAUAUAUCACAGACCAUGAACAUAGAACAAUAGACAAUUACUCUCACUUCUUCUUCAUUCAAAAGGAGAUCACACACACAUGAAAGGAGACAGACAUAUCAGAUCUCCAAUUUUUUUAACAAAAACAAACACAACAUACACAAUUACACAUGAACACAAUAUACACUUUAACCCAAAGAUAUACACACAAAAUUACACAAAAAUUCAGAUCUUAGUUACCACUUCUCUCUUAUCUCACUUUCUCUCUCAAGUUUCACCAAAAUGGGCCGAUCUUCUCACUGCCAGAGCUCACCGGUGGAUCACCAGAGCUCCGGCGAAACCCUUCAGUACCAUCAACUCCUCCAGCCGCCAACAACAGCCAUAACUGCCAACCACCCGAAAUCACAUCAACACCGCCACACGUCACCGCUAUUGUCUUCCUUUUCUUCUAUUUUCUGUUGUUGGCUCACCGGGAAGUGAUGAUCGGCGAGCUCCAAAUGCACUGUUACUGCUGCUACCCCUUGAAAAUACGGUAGAUCUAGCCGGUGUUUGCGUGUAUCCGGUAUUGCUUCGGUAUCCACCGUCGAAGCAACGCCAAUUCUUAAUAUUUUCUCCUCUACAGAUUGUUGUUUGGGGUGCUCUUAACACUUUUUCUUUUACGAUCGUUGGGAACUUUUGAAACUUUUGAUGACUUUGAAUUUUUUGGCAAAAUUUGGGUUGUCUCCAAUGAACAACACUGUUUUGGAAUUAUUUUGGAUUGUUUUGGGUUAAUUGUAUAUUAUAUCCUUGCAUACUGAUUUUAACAUUUGUUUAGUUCACCUUUUUGACGACUUUAAUCAUUCUUUAUGGUUAAAAGUUGCUGCUAUACUCCUUUAUUCUUCAUGGGUUGUCUUGUUGUGAUUAAUUUAUGAUGGUUUUACUUCGUUAUUGUGCAGCUGCAGCUGAUUUUGAAGUGAUUUGGACAUUUGUCCUUUCGUUUUGUCUUGCAAUUUAUUACAUUGGUAAAGAACAGGAUACUACAUGAUUAUGGCCAAUGAAAAAAUUACUACUCCUUCCGACCCAAAUUAUGUGUCACCAUUUCCUUUUUGAUCCGUCCCAAAAAGAAUGUCGUCUUUCCUUAUUUGGUAAGUUUUCAAAAACACAAUUACAAUUUUACCAUGUGGUCCCACUUGAUUUUACAUACUAUUACUCUUUUUUUAUUUGUUUUUCUAAUUAAAAGUGGUCCCACUUAAUUUUAAAUACUAUUACUCCUUUUUUUAAGAAGGGUAAUUUUGUAACUUUAACAAAGUCAAUACUUAUUUCUUAAAUAUCGUGUCCGGUCAAACGGCGACACAUAAUUUGGAACGGAGGGAGUACUUAAUUUUGAGGCCUCCGUAAAUAAAAGACGGAUUUUACAUAUACAUAAUAAAUAAUUUUUUUUGGGCGAUGAUGAAACUUUAUAACAACAGAAGAUUUUACAACUCAUAUUCUGGCAAGACGAUUUAGGACGGCCAAUUAAUUGAACAAUCAAUUCGUAGCAAAACGAUUUAGGAUGACCAAUUAAUUGAGCAACUAUUUCACAGUCAUGACUUUAUCUGAUCCCACUUUUAACAAAAAAUAUAUUUUUUUAUAAUACGUAAAUAUACACAUUCUUAUUUAUUAUUAUUUAUUUGUUACUAACAUUUUUUUUACAAGUGUUUAGACAGGUUAUUUUGGAAUACUCGUCGGGAGUUGCAGUCAAAUAGGCUCUUUUAAUUUUGUAUUGUAUUCUAUAUUCUUAUAUUUGUACAAUUAUCACUAUAGUAAAAAUUUUACUUUUUGGGUGUCGGGUGGGGAUAUUCUUCAUUUACACAAUUUCAUCACUUUUAGGCAAAACUUAGGCCGAUAAUAUUUACACCAAUAAAUUAAAUUAAAUUAAACAAUUAGUUUACAUAAUUUGACAUCAUAAACAUUGUAAUCUUUUUUGUUCAAAGAAAUCUUUAUUUUUUUUUGUAAAUUUUAAAUCAAGUAAGAUAUAUUAUUUUUAAACAUUUUCUCCUUAUGGCAUAUCAAGAUACACUUCUUUUCAUACAUGUCACAAAAUAUUUCUUCUUUUCACAUGUAAUUUAUACAUUUUCAUACAUAUCUUUUACCUGUGUUUCAAAAUAAUAUGUUUUAUUUAUAUAUUUAACAUACAUAUAUCUUUUACAUAGUUUUAAAUAUUUAGAUUUUUCAAAAGAAUUAUUUUAUACUUAACACAUACAACUUUACAUUAUUUUAAAUGUUUAUACCUCUUCACUCUUUGAUAAAUUUAGUCUAGCCGGGUACCACACUUGUGAAUUCUGAAGGAUGUUUAAUCCCUUCCCUUUGAAAUAACUUGAACCCUUACCUAGAAUUUCAGUUAUUUUUUUCGCAGACUAAAAACAUUAAUCACAAUGCUAAUAAAUAAAAAAGGUUUUCCUUAUUUUCCUUAAAAAUUAGGAAAUGACUCUGUACAAAUUUUCAUUCUUUUAGAGUUCAUAACGCCGUGCUUGUUUUGACCUCAGGUAAAAAUCGGGUAUGACAGAAUGAUGAUUCUGCUGGGGAUGACAACAUAUUCUAACCAUGAUCGACUCGAUUUAUAAUCGAGGGAGGUAUUUUUACAUUUUUGUAUAUGAUUAAAUUAUUUGAUUCCUUACCUAUUACAUUGCAAAUUAUGUGAAUUUGCUCAUAAAUUCUUUACAUUUUUUUGUCCUUAUCAUGCUUAGUUUAGGAUUUUUAUGCUUUAUUAUGUUAUUUGUUUUACAUAUUUUUAUAUCAUGCUAUGUGUGAAAGGACGCAAGCCAAAUCUAAACUUGCGUUCCUUAUUUGUUUGAAUAACACUACUUAUUACUGCUUUAUCACUUACAUUUUCCUAUUGAGUCUUUGGCUGUACAUAAUUCACACACUGUGGUACACGCGAGGGGUGUACUGCACUCCUCCAAACCUUCUUUGGAUUCCUUAGUUUCAGAGUCAGUGCAGUUAGGUUAGUGCACCUUCUCAUAAAUAUUCAGUCCCACUCUUGAACAUUUAGGAAACAAUCCUACUCUAGUAAUAGGUCAUAUCGCAUAUACCUUAGGCGGGACGGUCCAACGUAUCGUCUUCGCAACUAGGAAGACACCCUUUCGUCAGAAGGUUAUGAAACCUUUAUGACAUAUUUUGUGUUAGAACUGAUUCAGAUAAUCCAGAAAUCGAACAUUAAUGGAUUCAGAACAAUCAAAUUGGCCUUCUUUUACUCUUACUUCAUUCGACAUCAUUUUCACGUCAAUAGACAUAAAGUAUUACCCAAACUCGCCAACAUUUGACACCAUUUUCACGAAUACAGAGUGUUGUUAAAACUCAGCUUCACAAAUAUCUUUCUCAAAGUCCAUGAAAGUUGAGUGUUCUAAAAAUGCUUUACUUUCGUUCGACUUUCUCUUCAAGUUCGCAAAUAGGGAAUGUCACUAAAAAACUCCGCCUAUGUCUAACUUUUUUUUUAUCCAAACUAGAGUGGAAUGUCGUCAAGCAUUCUUCCAAUGUUUGAUUCCUUUUUCUAGUCAAUAGACGUAGAAUAUUAUUCAAAACUUUACAAUUAUUUGAUAUCCUUUUUCAAAAUAAUGAAUGUGGAAUAUUAUUCAUCUUCACCCACUUCUAACUCUUUCCACCAAUGAGCGUGAGAGAUUGUCGAUACUUCUCCACCGUUCAAUAUCUCUACCACAAGAUCCUCAUUCAUCAAUGACGAGACUUGAGAUACUCACUCUUUUAAAGACAUCAUUUUAGCUCGAUUCUAUCAAUUCUUAUAGAUUAUAUAGGCCUCUUUUAGCCCCCUUUGUUGGAUACAUUCCCUUUUUAAGAAAACUUAAUAUUGUUUUGAAUCCAAAAUGUGUCAAAAUCUAGAUUAUCUAUGUCAGUUUAUUUGAACGAAGCUCUACCUCUAGCAAAAUGAGGCUCCACAAUAUAAGAUGCACUUACUUGAUGUUGUCUGAAUGUGCUUGUCCAUUGACAUGAACUAACUCCUUAGCUUUUAUUUGUGUUGGCAUUAUCCCCCCGAUAGAGGUUAAUUAUGUUGAUUGAUAGAACUAGCCGACUUAAGCUACAUAUCCCAAGAAUAAACACUAAUAUCAUCGACCCGACUAGAAGUGUUCCAAUGCUAGCAAACGUAUCAGGGACUUUCAAAAGACAAGAUGAUGCGGAUAAGGAAGAACGUAUUAUUCUCUUGGAGCAACAACUCAAGACGUUAAGAGGAGAACUACACCAAGGAAGGGACCCCGCACAACUAUUCGUGGCUACUCUACCGCGCCCUUCUCUUUUUUUCUCCAAUACCUGAAAACUAUCAGUCAGUACAACCUUCCACAACAACUAUUAGCUUAACAAAUCCAUCAUCCCCGUUUACACCCAUCACCUCCCAUAAAUUUCCUUGUUGCACCCCACAUCCUAAUAUUGUUUGUGAUAAUCAACAAACAAAUCACGCUACCUUUCAAGAACAAUAUAUUUCUCCAAUGUGUGUGACUGAGACACUCGUUUUCACCAUGCCUGCUAAAAGUAGGCUUUUGAUAAGUACAAAGACAAAAGAGAGGGAUGACAAAUCGUAAACGAGCUGUGUAAUCUAAAGCGUGCAAUGAAAUACCUAUAAGAAACUUAAGUCAACGAGUAUUUAGACUACGAAGAUUUAUGUAUCCAUCCAGAUGUUGAUUUGCCAGUCGGGUUCAAGCCACCUAAGUUUGACUUAUUUGAUGGAACUGGAGAUCCUCAUACUCAUUUAAGAGCGUAUUAUGAUAAAUUGGUAGGGAUUCGAAAAAAAUGAGAAGCUUAUAAUGAAGUUGUUCAUUAGAAGUUUGUCUGGUGAGGCUCUCGUUUGGUACACCAAACAAGACCCUCGUAUUUUGCAUAAAUGGAGUGACAUGGCUGAAGACUUUAUGAAUCGUUUCAAGUUUAACACAGAAAUCGCACCUGAUCGACUUUCCCUCAUCAGUAUACAAAAGAAGACCUCUGAAUUAUUCCAGGAAUAUGCUCGACGAUAGAGGUCCGAAGUAGGAAAAGUUCAACCACCGAUGGACGAAAGUGAAUUAACAAAGUAUUUUAUCCACAGUCAAAAGGGUGUCUAUUUUGAAAAGAUAAUGUCCACAUUAGGGCAGAAGUUUUCCAAUUCUGUCAAAAUGGGGAAUUUUAUUGAAGAGUCAAUUAACUCUGGAAAGAUUAAGUUGACAAACAGCUCGAGCCAAUCUACUCAGUUGGAGUUUGUUGAAGGAGCUAAGGUAGAGAAUGAAGAAGAAGUAUCUGUUGUGAUACCACACCACUCAAUACCUAAAUUAUCCCAAUCACUUCAAAAUCUUGAUAAUGAACUGAUGCAAAUAUCGAGUCACAAACUACAUCAUGCCUACAAUAUCCAACAAAAUCACCUUCAACCCCAAGCUCCCACAUACCAAAAUCCACCACAACCAUGCAUACCAAUCCAAUUGUCAGUUUAUCAAAAUCCGACACCUUUUGCGCUAAGAUAAAAUUCUAAGGGUAAGCGCAAUCGAAGCCGCACUCAAUUUGUUGAAUCAUUGACAUUUUUGUUUGAGAGACUGAGAGCUAUAAAUUUAUUGCAACCGGAGUUGGGGAAGAUUCCUAAUCCAUUACCUAAAUGGUUCGAUGAAGCAAAGCGAUGUGCUUUCCACUCUGGAGUUCCGAGGCACGAUACUAAAGACUGUAAUAGGCUAAGGCAUAGAUUGAGUGUUUGAUUAAGGCCGGGGCAAUCCAAUGUGUUGUAGUACAACCAAAUGCAAAUAAUGAUUCGGUGACCAAUCAUGAAAAUAGAGGAGUGUAUAUGACGUGAGAGACACCAUCCUCCACGUCGAGCCAUCGGGGCCUUCAUAUAAGCUACUCUACAGAGAAGCGCUAACUUUAGCGGGAAUACGAUAUAGACGAAUCCAAGAUGAUCAACUCAGAAACAGUCAAUAGAGUCCUAUAUUUGAAGGCAUAAAAUUUUCUUCUAAUUAUCAUAUAACAAAACUACAUGGUGAGAUACGUAGGCAACCCUCAUCGAGUUUGGUCGUACUUAAGUAGAAUCAUUUCCCCUUUUGUAGUUGGAACUACGUGUGACCUGAUUUCCCUCGGUGGGAUACGUAGGCAGCCUAUAUAAGGCUCGAGCCCUUUAUAAUACAAAAUUCUAUUUUUCCCUAAUGAAGAGCGAAACUUGAACGCGACGGUAUCCAGAAACCCCGACACAAUCUAUCAAGACUAUCCCAAGAUACGCAACGAAGAAUCAUCGAAAGAGUCUCUCCAAGAGACUGGGGCAAAAUUUUGAAGAACGUUUCAAAAAUCAACAAAGGCUAGGAUGUUCAACUUGGAAAUGUUACAAUCAAGGUUGAUUUGUACCAGAUAAUGCAAGACAUCAUUAAAGCUACAAGACAUCAACGGGGGAUGAAUUGACUAGAAUAUCAAGAAAAAUGCACCAAGGGUCAAUACAGAAGACACUUCCACCACUUAACUAAAGAUCUUCUCUACAAAUAUUGUUAAAAGAUACUAUCAAUACAAAUGCUCCAAAAUCACAUCGAUGAUCAGCGCAGGAUCAAACACUCGUUACUUUAGUCAUAAGGAGGUCAACCAAAUCUUCUGAAGGAUUUCAAAAAUAUGCUUAAAAGCGUUCAAGCUUGGAUUAUGACUAAAAUACAUCAAUCAAGAAUAUCAACAUUCAAUAUCUGUUGACACAUGAGAUAACAUAUGUUGGCGUCGAGGAUAUCUCAUCAUCCUAUGAAUCAGCAUUUGAAUUCAUCAAAAGCACAUGAUUCGUCUUUAAGUUGCUAUCUAAAAGCGAACAUCAUAUGAGAUUUCCUUGAAAUUGAUAAUUUGAGGAUCAUCUAUAAGUCAUAUUAUUUGAAAUAAGAUAGUGUGCAGGAUUACCUCUGAGUUGAUAGUCCAUAGGUCAUUCGUAAGCCACAAUAACAUCCUAACCGAAUAGUAUGCAAGGUUACCUAAAAAUUGAUGGUCCGAAGGUUAUCCAUAAGUCGCAACUAAAUCCUUACUGAAGAAUAUGCGAGAUCAUCAAAUUGAUACGUCCAAGGGUUCUCUAUAAGCCGCGUCAUAUCCAAGAUCGAUUAUGUGCAGGAUUGCCCUAGGAAUAGCAAUUUGAGAGAUAUCUAUAAGUCACAUUGUGUCCAAGGUCGGAAGAUGUGCAGGAACACCUGAAAGCUAGCGAUUGGAGGGAUAUCUGUAAGUCGUUCUUAUCUGAGGUCAGAUAAUGUGCAGGAUUAUCUAAAGGCUAGGAAUUCAAAGAAUAUCUAUAAGUCGCCUCGUAUCCAAUAUUAAAUAACGCGCAAGAUAAUCCAAAGAUUGGUGAUUCAAAGGAAAUCUAUAAGUCGUCUUGAUACAAAAGAUGCGCAAGACUUAUCUGAGAUCGUAUGUGAAGAAUUAUUGGCAAUAACCAGAGAGGUCAUCAUUCCACAAGUAUUAUGGGUGACUCAAAAGGGUUACUGCAUCUACAUAAGAUUACACGGUUGUAGGGAUCCUUCUGCAUAAAGUUUCAUCGGUGUCCAAAAAGGGCAUCCCACUUUAAAGACAUAUUCAACUGAUAAAUGAUUACGCAAUAAUCAAAAGGGUUGUUGUGUCCAUCAUUACAAGUUGUUUCCUUCCAAGCAGGUACACGAAAAGACGACUGUAGUGAACCCAAAAAGAGUUCAUAUACGAAGACGCCCACAAGAUAAGGAGACUAUCAAUGAGGCGCCCAAGAAAUAUUCAGAGUUUACGCAGAGAAGACUCGUGCAUAUACCCAAGCCUCUUGCUUUCAUCAAAAUACAAGUCAGCGAGACUACAUAUGAAGAUAGAUACAACGCGUUCACUACUCUUCCGCUCAAAAACCAUGACAUGAAGGAACCGACAUUGAGAUGCAAAUCUCAACGCUUGAUCGACUCCAACAACCUACAAAAACAUCUAGCAAAUUAAGAAAUGCUUUAAUGCUAAGUGUUAGCACAAAGAAAGAAGCGAUAGGAUGUUGAAGACUCUAAUAUGAGAGAUAUGCUCGUAAUUGACCAAAUAGGCCUUUUAAGGAAAGCUUAUAAAUAUCAAUCUUACCAUUCUCCACCCACCCACCCUUGUGACUAAAUUUUCUUAAUUCUCCUCACGCGGAGCUACGUUUUAACCUGAUUCCUAUUUAGGAUACGUAGGCAGCCUGAGAUAGUCUCGAUCAUAUCAACAAAAUAUUCUCUCCAUCCUUUUAAAUUUCAUUUAUUAUCUCAAGCCACAACAGUUCCGUCGCUUUGACAGACGUCGAAAGAAAAGAGAAAGAUAGAAAAAUUCCCCGCUAUAAGAUAUACUAUUAUGAGCACAUCAUUUGGGAUUAGGAGGCGUCACUACUCUAAAUCCCGAAUAGAUUGCCGAUUGUCAGAAGAUUGAAGGACAAGAUAGCUGUUAGGCCAAGUUCUCGAUCAACACAAAAUCAACACUCCCUCCUUAAACUAAGCAACUUUCUUUGAGUGCAGGUACAACGUCGCUAAAACAAAGGUUCAAAUAUUUUGGAAGCCUAAAUGCUGCCUUACCAUCACGAGCUGAGAAUCCAGGUAUCGUCAAUUUAUCCAUAAUUAUUCCAAGAGACUAAAGGAUCUUCUCGAAUCUUACAGGUCACAAUAAUGCUCAAGGAGGCACGUGUCAAGUAUCUUACAACAUUCUAUCAGGUCCACAUUAAAGGGAUAUCCCCAUUAAGACUACGUCAUCAAGUACUAACAGUUCACGAAACUCUAACAUAACACAAGGAAAGUUUGCCCCGAACAAUAGGACAGGGCAGUUUGCCCCGAACAAUAGGACAAGGCAGUCAGCCCCGAACAAUAGGACAGGGUCGUCUGCCCCGAACAAUAGGACAGGGAAAGUCCACCCUGAACAACAGGACAAACAAUCACUCUAUCCUUCAGAAACCUCUAUAACACAAGACGCAUCGCCAAUCAAUACCUACAAAACACUUAGCUGACGGAGGCUAUUUACACUUCAGUCGAUGGAGGCUAUUUACAUUUCAUGCAACUGCUCAGCCGACGGAGGCUAUUUACAUCUCAGUUACGGCUCAGCCGACGGAGGCUUUUACUUUCAAGCAACUGCUCAGUCGACGAAGGUUGUUUGCAUUUUAGUUAUUACCCCGCCAGCCAAUUGCCUCCACAAAAAGAGACUAUACUAGUUUGAAUAUCUGAACCCUACUCUUUACAUUACAAUUUUAAUUUACAAUUUUUGAAGAAACAUGUACUUUUCACCUCUUUUACCUGUUUUGCAGGAAUAUGCAAUACAACGUGGAACUAUCCUCUUAGCAGUAAACUGGGGCAAGCUAGCGGAAUGUCAAGCAUCCCUAGCUGCAUCAAGGAUUCCAGUAAAGAAACUCAACUCAACUCAACUCAAAACUCUUAUUUUUUAUAAUUCUUAGCGUCAUCGCCCAGUGUCGUCUCAAUCUGACACUGGGGUAAUUUUUCAAAAAUUCGCAAUCUCCUUUUCCCUCAAAAUCCUCAGAAGAUGUGGCUACCCAGCGUCUCCUCAUGCACAACUAUUCCAAACAACCAGUUUUGGAACUUGCGCCCAUAUCCUUUUCCACUCGUGCUAAACUAUUUCUUUUACAUCCUCGAAGGAACCCAGUGUCAUGAUGAUUCUACACUGGAGCAAAUUUUGAUAUUCAUCAAAAUUUUGCUAUAAUUCGAACUACAAAUGGCUUGACUUCUUAUGAAGCCCCAGAUAUGUAGGCAGCUCGAGAACUGGAGCCCGACCAUAAUCUUCCAAACAUCUUGUUUCACCCGAGACAAAAUUGGUUACGUCAACAUGAUUGCCCAAAGAUUUUCAUGCAAAUCUUUAGUCACUCAGGGGAAACUGUUGACACCCAAUUUUGACUCAAAUUUUUUCCUUUAAUUGUUUUACCGAUGCUCCUCGUCCCUAAAUAAUUUUCAAAAAUUAAAUUAAAAAAUAAGAUUCGUAUUUUUGUUUCUAUUUUUAUAAUUUUUUUAAAAAGAACAAUUUAUUUUCUAUCAUAAUAUAAAAUAUUUUUUAUAAUUAAAUAUUUUAACAAAUAAAAAUAUAUAUCUUUUUUUUAGUGUGAUAUUGUGUCUAUAUAUAUAUAUAUAUAUAUAUAUAUAUAUAUAUAUAUAUGCAUAUAGUUUGUUAAUAUUAAAUUACAAAAAAAAAGAGAUAUUAAGUUGGACGCUUUAAGAAUUAUGUUUGUAAUUUAUAUAUGUUAAAACUAAAAAAUAAUUUUUAAGAUAUCAGGGAACAUCGAUAAAUUUAAUUUCAGCAGAAAAAGAGCGUUCAAACUAGCAAUAAUUCAAUUUUAUUUUUAUUUCAUCCGAGCCCAACUCUCAUCUUAUAAAUUUCAAUCAAGAGUUCAAAAAUCAUCCCGAACCCAGUAUAAUUUCUAUGCACGUCUUGCCAUUCCACCUUAAGAGAUACGAUUUAAUCUGAUCCGUUGGUUUAUUUUAAAUUCGAAGGAUCCCAAAAUUAUCAUUCAUUUUCAUAUAAAUGUAGAUAUAUAGAAUUUAUUAUUUAUUUAAUUUUCUAUUUAUUUUCAUACUUUUUUAAAAUUAAAAUUUGAACCGUCCAGACAAAGUCCGAACAAAUAAAAAUAGUCAUAUUAAAAAUUGACUUUUCAUAUAUUUAUCUGUAUAAUAUAUUUUUCUUUUCAUAUUUUCACUAUUAUUUUUAAGAAGGCAAUCUUUUAGGAUGGUUCGAUCAAAAGAUUGGAUGGAUCAAAACCAGUUUAAAAAUUACCGGACUAACACAACUUGAUCCGCUCUAUCGAUAGUUUUCCAAAUCGAGGAUCCUGAAAGUUUCAGUUAUCAUUAUACAUUUACAUAUAGGUGUGCAUAAUGUAUUUUAUUUAUCUAAUUAUUUACUUAUUUAUUUACGUAUUUAUAUUCUCUUUUCUUUUAAAUUUAGAUCCGGACAAAGGUCGAACAUAUUCAAAAAUAACCAAUUUCGAAUCAACUCUUUUUCAUAUAUUUAUUUACACAUACAUAUAUAUAAAAAAAAUUUAUUUUUAAGGUAUUAUUUUUUUAAGACCGUCCGAUCUUAAAUCGGACGGAUCAAAAUCAAUCAAAUUUUUAAGAGAUCAGCGCAUUAAAUGCACAGCUCCCAUGCGUCUGCUUUUGGCAGAAUAUGCAUAACUCUCUUCUCAAAAUAAUAUUGACGAGUCUCCAUGACCUCUUUUCCAAAAACAACAAUAAUGGCCUCUUUUCUCCCUUCUCCGCUUUCCCUUCUAUCCACCAUUCCCAAAUCAAAAGACCUAGAUCUACCGCGUCACCACCAUAGCUGCACCUCGUCUGCCAAGAUUCUCCCAUUUUUAACCAUCCAAGUCUGUGAAUUCGUGAGAAUUAAAAGAAAAAGACCCAAUUCAAUGUUUGAUGUCAAUUUCGCCAUUAAUGGUCUAGAUAAAGAAGAUAUCUUUAAAUUUAUUAAAUUGCUGCAUAAGUCAUAAAAAGAAUUAAAGAAAAUCUUCACUUUGAUAUUGGUCAUCAGCUUUUGCAACGUCAAAAUUCAAACGCUCCUAAUUCAAAAUUCGAAGGCUCUUAUAUAUCACAGAUCAUGAACACAGAUCAAUAGACAAUCACUCUCACAGAGAAUCCAUUUUUUUUGCUCCUUCUUCUUCAUUCAAAAGGAGAUCACACACACUUGAAAGGAGACAGACAUAUCAGGUCUCCAAUUUUUUUUUACAAAAACAAACACAACAUACACAAUUACACAUGAACACAAUACACAAUUUAACCCAAAGAUAUACACACAAAAUUACACAAAAAGUCAGAUCUUGGUUACCCCUUCUCUCUCAUCUUACUUUCUCUCUCAAGUUUCACCAAAAUGGGCCGAUCUUCUCACUGCCAGAGCUCACCGGUGAGGUCACCAGAGCUCCGGCAAAACCCUUCAGUACCAUCAACUCUUCCAGCCGCCAAUAACAGCCAUAGCUGCCAACCACCCGAAAUCACAUCAACACCGCCACGCGCCACCGCUAUUGUCUCCCUUUUCUUCUAUUUUCCGUUAUUGGCUCACCGGGAAGUGAUGACCGGCGAGCUCCAAACGCACUAUUACUGCUGCUACCCGCCUGAAAAUACGGUAGAUCUAGCCGAUUUUUGCGUGUAUCCGGUGUUGCUUCGGUAUCCACCGUCGAAGCAACGCCAAUUCUUAAUAUUUUCUCCUCUACAGAUUUUGUUGUUUAGGGUGCUCUUAACAUUUUUUUUUACGAUCGUUGGGAUCUUUUGACACUUUUGAUGACUUUGAAUUUUUUUGACAAAAUCUGGGUUGUCUCCAAUGAACAACACUGCUUUGGAAUUAUUUAGGACUGUUUUGGGUUAAUUGUAUAUCAUAUCUUUGCAUACUGAUUUUAACAUUUGUUUAAUUCACCUUUUUGAUGACUUCAACCAUUCUUUAUGGUCAAAAGUUGUUGCUAUACUCCUUUAUUCUUCAUGGGUUGUCUUGUUGUGAUUAAUUUAUGAUGAUUUUACUCCGUUAUUGUGCAACUGCAGCUGAUUUUGAAAUGAUUUGGAUAUUUAUUCUUUCGUUUUAUCUUGCAAUUUAUUACACUGGUAAAGAACAGGAUACUACAUGAUUAUGGCCAAUGAAAAAAUUGCUACUUAAUUUUGAGGCCUCCAUAAAUAAAAGACAGACUUUACAUAUACAUAAUAAAUAAUUUUUUUUGGGCGAUGAUGAAACUUUAUAACAACACAAGAUUUUACAACUCAUAGUCUAGCAAGACGAUUUAGGACGACCAAUUAAUCGAACAAUCAUUUCGUAGAAAAACGAUUUAGGAUGGCCAAUUAAUUGAGUAAUUAUUUUGCAGUCAUGAUUUUAUCUGAGCUUAUUUUUAACAAAAAAUAUUUUUUUUAUAAUACGUAAAUAUAUACAUUCUUAUUUAUUAUUAUUUAUUUGUUACUAACAUUUUUUUUACAAGUGUUUAUACGAGUUAUUUUGGAAGUUGCAGUCAAAGAGGCUCUUUUAAUUUUGUAUUGUAUUUUAUAUUCUUAAGUUUGUACACAUAUCACUAUAGUGAAAAUUUUACUUUUGGGUGUCGGGUGGGGAUAUUUUUCAUUUACACAAUUUCAUCACUUUUAGGUAAAACUUCGGCCGAUAAUAUUUACACCAAUAAAUUAAAUUAAAUUAAUCAAUUAGUUUACAUACUUUGACAUCAUAAACAUUGUGAUCUUUUCUGUUUAAAGAAAUCUUUAUUUUUUUUUUUUUGUAAAUUUUAAAUCAAGUAAGAUAUAUUAUUUUUAAAUAUUUUCUCCUUAUGGCAUAUCAAGAU
This 13254-nucleotide long non-coding RNA is filed under the name Capsicum annuum. RNAcentral's name for it is "long non-coding RNA (CANN_LNC008177)". Lineage: Eukaryota; Viridiplantae; Streptophyta; Magnoliopsida; Solanales; Solanaceae. The record is from RNAcentral.